UACAGGAUGGAACAUGAAGGCGGACU
Molecule: non-coding RNA, 26 nt
Filed under: Homo sapiens (human)
Lineage: Eukaryota; Metazoa; Chordata; Mammalia; Primates; Hominidae
Source: RNAcentral